Molecule: ribosomal RNA, 391 nt
Filed under: uncultured bacterium
Lineage: Bacteria
Description: partial 16S ribosomal RNA
Rfam family: Bacterial small subunit ribosomal RNA
Source: RNAcentral
CUACGGAGGAUCCGAGCGUUAUCCGGAUUUAUUGGGUUUAAAGGGUGCGCAGGCGGCCAUUUAAGUCAGCGGUUAAAUCGUGGGGCUCAACCCCAUUCUGCCGUUGAUACUGGGUGGCUUGAUUGCGGUCGAGGUUGGCGGAAUUCGUUGUGUAGCGGCGAAAUGCAUAGAUAUGACGAAGAACACCGACUGCGUAGGCAGCUGACCAGACCGCAAAUGACGCUCAUGCACGAAAGUGCGGGGAUCGAACAGGAUUAGAUACCCUGGUAGUCCGCACAGUAAACUAUGAAUACUGGUUUUCGGCGAUAUAAUGUCGGAGGCAAAGCGAAAGCGAUAAGUAUUCCACCUGGGGAGUACGCCGGCAACGGUGAAACGCAAAGGAAUUGACGGG